RNAcentral lists this ribosomal RNA (301 nucleotides) under uncultured bacterium. RNAcentral's name for it is "partial 16S ribosomal RNA". It matches the Rfam family "Bacterial small subunit ribosomal RNA", at positions 509 to 807 of the family's 1533-position model. The record is from RNAcentral.
CAGCCGCCGCGGGAAUACGGAGGGUGCGAGCGUUAAUCGGAAUUACUGGGCGUAAAGCGUACGCAGGCGGUUUGUUAAGUCAGAUGUGAAAUCCCCGAGCUUAACUCGGGAACUGCAUUUGAAACUGGCAGGCUAGAGUCUCGUAGAGGGGGGUAGAAUUCCAGGUGUAGCGGUGAAAUGCGUAGAGAUCUGGAGGAAUACCGGUGGCGAAGGCGGCCCCCUGGACGAAGACUGACGCUCAGGUACGAAAGCGUGGGGAGCAAACAGGAUUAGAUACCCCGGUAGUCCCUGUCUCUUAUAC